GACCUCUGUGGUCUGAGGCUCAGGUGGCUUCAUCUGGUCCUCUUAUUUUUCUUCGAAAGAUCUUGACUUCUAUAAAAGGGUUACUUCAUCAAAUAAAAAAUAUCCAUAAUUAUAUGUUAUAUAUUGUAUUUUCUCAAGGUUUUAGGAACAGAUAGGGAGGGUUUUAGUAGGGAGGGUUUUAGUCUAGAUUUUUUUACAGAUUUCAGAGAGAAAAACUGGAUACAGAGAAGAUUAUAGAGAGAGAAGAAGUGGGGUUCUUUAUAUUUUUUUUAUUUGAUGUAGAGGAAAGGGUAUUGGAGAGGCUUUGCAGAGAGUUAGGAACCUUGUGUAGAAAAACAGGAUCUUGUUCUUUCCAUUCUUGUCGUUUUUGCUUUUUUUUAAAAAAUUUUUGAAAUUGUAGAAGGAGGCAAAGAAGAUGAAGAUUCAAUGCAACGUUUGUGAGGUGGCGGAGGCGAACGUGCUUUGCUGCGCCGACGAGGCUGCGUUGUGUUGGGCUUGCGAUGAGAAAGUUCAUGCGGCCAACAAGCUAGCAAGCAAGCACCAGAGAGUUCCUCUCUCUGGCUCUUCCCCUCAGAUGCCUAAAUGCGACAUUUGUCAGGAGACGGCUGGCUUUUUCUUUUGUCUAGAA
This 628-nucleotide unclassified non-coding RNA is filed under the name Hevea brasiliensis (rubber tree). The record is from RNAcentral. Lineage: Eukaryota; Viridiplantae; Streptophyta; Magnoliopsida; Malpighiales; Euphorbiaceae.